GGGGGGCGACGUUAAUCGGAAUUACUGGGCGUAAAGCGCAUGCAGGUGGUUUGUUAAGUCAGAUGUGAAAGCCCGGGGCUCAACCUCGGAAUAGCAUUUGAAACUGGCAGACUAGAGUACUGUAGAGGGGGGUAGAAUUUCAGGUGUAGCGGUGAAAUGCGUAGAGAUCUGAAGGAAUACCGGUGGCGAAGGCGGCCCCCUGGACAGAUACUGACACUCAGAUGCGAAAGCGUGGGGAGCAAACAGGAUUAGAUACCCUGGUAGUCCACGCCGUAAACGAUGUCUACUUGGAGGUUGUGGCCUUGAGCCGUGGCUUUCGGAGCUAACGCGUUAAGUAGACCGCCUGGGGAGUACGGUCGCAAGAUUAAAACUCAAAUGAAUUGACGGGGGCCCGCACAAGCGGUGGAGCAUGUGGUUUAAUUCGAUGCAACGCGAAGAACCUUACCUACUCUUGACAUCCAGAGAACUUUCCAGAGAUGGAUUGGUGCCUUCGGGAACUCUGAGACAGGUGCUGCAUGGCUGUCGUCAGCUCGUGUUGUGAAAUGUUGGGUUAAGUCCCGCAACGAGCGCAACCCUUAUCCUUGUUUGCCAGCGAGUAAUGUCGGGAACUCCAGGGAGACUGCCGGUGAUAAACCGGAGGAAGGUGGGGACGACGUCAAGUCAUCAUGGCCCCUUACGAGUAGGGCUACACACGUGCUACAAUGGCGCAUACAGAGGGGCGGGCCAACUUGCGAAAAGUGAGCGAAUCCCCAAAAAGUGCGUCCGUAGUCCCGGAUUGGGAGUCUUGCAACUCCGACUCCCAUGAAAGUCGGGAAUCCGCUAAGUAAUCCGUGGGAUCAAGAAUUGCCCACGGGUGAAAUACCGUUCCCCGGGGCCUUUGUACCACACCCGCCCCGUCCACACCCAUGGGGAAGUGGGGCUUGCAAAAAAGAAAGUAAGGGUAAGUUUUAAACCCUUUCCGGGGGGGGACCGCUUUACCCACCUUUGGGUGGGUUCCAUGGACUUGGGGGUGGAAGCCUAAGGGGGGGGGGGGCCCCCCCCAAACAAAAAAAAAAAUAUCCCCCCCCAUAACCGGGCGGGCCCCCCCAACAAGGCCGCGGACCCCCUUUACCCCCCCGGGGGACGGGGGCCCCCCGCCCCCCGCCCCCCCCCCCCGCAACCCCCCCCCCAUCCCCCCCC
Molecule: ribosomal RNA, 1179 nt
Filed under: Vibrio alginolyticus
Lineage: Bacteria; Pseudomonadati; Pseudomonadota; Gammaproteobacteria; Vibrionales; Vibrionaceae
Description: bacterial SSU rRNA
Rfam family: Bacterial small subunit ribosomal RNA (bases 1-952)
Source: RNAcentral